This 373-nucleotide ribosomal RNA is filed under the name uncultured organism. RNAcentral's name for it is "partial 16S ribosomal RNA". It matches the Rfam family "Bacterial small subunit ribosomal RNA", at positions 527 to 896 of the family's 1533-position model. The record is from RNAcentral.
GUAGGUGGCAAGCGUUGUCCGGAAUUAUUGGGCGUAAAGCGCGCGCAGGCGGUUCUUUAAGUCUGAUGUGAAAGCCCACGGCUCAACCGUGGAGGGUCAUUGGAAACUGGAGAACUUGAGUACAGAAGAGGAAAGCGGAACUCCACGUGUAGCGGUGAAAUGCGUAGAGAUGUGGAGGAACACCAGUGGCGAAGGCGGCUUUCUGGUCUGUAACUGACGCUGAGGCGCGAAAGCGUGGGGAGCAAACAGGAUUAGAUACCCUGGUAGUCCACGCCGUAAACGAUGAGUGCUAAGUGUUAGGGGGGUUUCCGCCCCCCUUAGUGCUGCAGCUAACGCAUUAAGCACUCCGCCUGGGAGUACGGCCGCAAGGCUG